GGAAUAACUUCGGGAAACCGGAGCUAAUGCCGGAUAACAUUUGGAACCGCAUGGUUCUAAAGUAAAAGAUGGUUUUGCUAUCACUUAUAAAUGGACCCGCGCCGUAUUAGCUAGUUGGUAAGGUAACGGCUUACCAAGGCAACGAUACGUAGCCGACCUGAGAGGGUGAUCGGCCACACUGGAACUGAGACACGGUCCAGACUCCUACGGGAGGCAGCAGUAGGGAAUCUUCCGCAAUGGACGAAAGUCUGACGGAGCAACGCCGCGUGAGUGAUGAAGGUUUUCGGAUCGUAAAACUCUGUUAUUAGGGAAGAACAAAUGUGUAAGUAACUGUGCACAUCUUGACGGUACCUAAUCAGAAAGCCACGGCUAACUACGUGCCAGCAGCCGCGGUAAUACGUAGGUGGCAAGCGUUAUCCGGAAUUAUUGGGCGUAAAGCGCGCGUAGGCGGUUUCUUAAGUCUGAUGUGAAAGCCCACGGCUCAACCGUGGAGGGUCAUUGGAAACUGGGAAACUUGAGUACAGAAGAGGAAAGUGGAAUUCCAUGUGUAGCGGUGAAAUGCGCAGAGAUAUGGAGGAACACCAGUGGCGAAGGCGACUUUCUGGUCUGUAACUGACGCUGAUGUGCGAAAGC
Molecule: ribosomal RNA, 633 nt
Filed under: Staphylococcus equorum subsp. linens
Lineage: Bacteria; Bacillati; Bacillota; Bacilli; Caryophanales; Staphylococcaceae
Description: bacterial SSU rRNA
Rfam family: Bacterial small subunit ribosomal RNA
Source: RNAcentral